UGGGAACAAGCCCUAAGCCUGUCAUAAAUA
Molecule: non-coding RNA, 30 nt
Filed under: Homo sapiens (human)
Lineage: Eukaryota; Metazoa; Chordata; Mammalia; Primates; Hominidae
Source: RNAcentral